RNAcentral lists this long non-coding RNA (667 nucleotides) under Arabidopsis lyrata. Its description in RNAcentral is "long non-coding RNA (ALYR_LNC000642)". Lineage: Eukaryota; Viridiplantae; Streptophyta; Magnoliopsida; Brassicales; Brassicaceae. The record is from RNAcentral.
ACCUAUCCUGAGAGUUUGUUUCUAUACCUUUUCGAUUGGUACUUCAUGACGUUUGCACCAUGCAACCGUGAUUCUAGGAUCCAGGUAAUUGAUCUUAGAUGUGCCUAGUGCCACGGUUUUCAAGUCCUCUUUUGUAUGCAUGUCUCGUUCCAUUUUCUCGAUCUUAGCACUCUGUUGAGCAAUCUUCUUCUCCCACCUGCAAUAAAACAUUCAAAGGACGUAAAUCUUCAAAACGAGAUAGAUAUCUAGGAGUCUUUUCAGAAGUAAGAAGGAAAAUUAUAUUACGCGUUUGGUUCUAAGCUUCUAAUCUUCUUUCCAUCAGAACCUUCCAAUGGUGGUUUUCCCUUUUUAGCCCAGUCAAGAUUAGUUUUGAGCUCUUUAAGACCCUCCUACAGAUUUAUCAAAAACAAACAAACGGAAGGCAUUAUAAAUGAAUCCAGAAGAAAAGCAGAGAAUUUCAAAAGGUAAUCAAGAGUUUAUAGGAGAUUUGUACCUUGAGUUCUUCUAUUCUCGCAGUCAAUUUUUCAAUUUGCGCACCAUGUGACUUUGAUACAGUACGCUGAUGAUUACAGAUUAUGGCAACCUGAAAGAAUGUGAACCAGUAUUUCAUGAAUCUGCCACAUGAGCUAUGCACCAAACAAGAAAUCACCAGGAGAAUGAACAAAUC